This 1805-nucleotide long non-coding RNA is filed under the name Homo sapiens (human). RNAcentral describes it as "HSALNT0319247". Lineage: Eukaryota; Metazoa; Chordata; Mammalia; Primates; Hominidae. The record is from RNAcentral.
GGCCUCCCCAACCAUGCAUCCUGCACAGCUUGUGGAACUAGACUCAACUGUGUGGGUUAAGACUUGGCCAUGGCACACCAAGGAUACCCCGUCUCUGCUCUGCAAUGUCUGAGGAUUCAGCUGGAAGACUUGAGAACUGGAGGAUGGGAUCAACUGAAGGCUCAUUAAUUCACUCAUCUAUCCUGGUUCCAGAAGCAGAUGGGCAGACAAGGAGACAAGCAGAGGAAUGUCAAAAUGCUGCGGCAGAAAGAGAGAAGAGGAGGAAUGUCUCAACACUAAGAGUUUAGCCCGGGGCGGUUCAGCUGCCGGAAGGCCAAACUCCAGGAGAAGCCCAUCUUCCUACUCCGUCCUCCCUUCAGGUUCUCCAUCCAUCCUGCUGAGAGCCACCUCCGCCAUUCAGUAAGACCCCCACAUUUAUCCUUCAAGUGCAUGUGUGACCCAGUUCUUCCAGGAUGCUGGACAAGAGCUUGGGAUACAUAAAGCUGUCACACUGGCCCUCUGCCCUUGCUCGCUAACACUCAAGCCAUUCGCAGACGGCUAAAAGAGCACAUUGUAACACGUGCCCACUUGGACUCCUGCACCUGCCCAUCUGCAUGCUUUCCAUCCUGUAAGGGGUUUGAGUGGUGUCAGCAAUCUAACAGACAAGCCACACCCUUGUUUCACGUCCUGUGAGAGGGGUCAGGGAACUCUUCUGUUUCAUCAUUACCCAACUUUGGAACUCAAGAAAGGACUCACAGGGAAAUUCUUGCAGAAUCUCGUGGAAAAUCUCACAUGUAUUUGUGAAAAUACAAUGUGGAUCUGUGAGAUCCCACUUCAACACAGGCCACGGGGCCACCUUCUGCACCCACAUGGGUUGUUUUAAGUCUUCCUUAGUCUCCUUGAGAAUAACAUGAUGCUAUGAUGUUGGCAGGAAUCUUCCACACCUUCCAAAACAUGACAAUAUGGGUCAAGCCCGUGCAGAGACUGUGGCUCCUGCUUUGGGAGUCACCUGGAAUUGUUGAGAGAUUAGCAAAUCCCAGAACCAGGUUUGUUAGAAUUAACUGCUCAACCAGAUUGUAUUGAAAAUGGUCUGAAGUCAAAGACGACAGACGCAAACGGGCUAAAUUGCUCAGUUAAUUCUUCCAUUUCUCUUCCUCCUAGUUGUUCUAGCUUCAGGGAGGACUCAGGAGAGUACUGUUUGAAAACCACUGAUCUAGUUUACACUUUCAUUUUACAGAGAGGAAACUGAGAGCCACAGAGAUUCAAGUGACUCAUCCAAGAUGACCCAAACCCUGGGGUUUGUUAUUGUUUUUCACACUAUGCAAAGCACUAAAAAACAUUCGUUUGAAACAGGUGAACAAAAGUCUAAUUUGUAGUGAGGUCUAGGGGAAUGACUGUCCAGUCAAUUCCUCAAUUCAUGAAGGAGCAUUUGGGACGCCACAGAGGAACAUACACAGGUAUCCCUCCUCCUACCCGACACCAUUCAGGAAGAGCGGUUACCCCUCCAAUGCACUGAAGCAGAUUCAUUUCCCUCAGGACUGUGGGAGGCGACUGAGGCUGAGUGAAUGAUACAGCCUUUUAAUUUGUUUUUAAUUGUCGUGUCCUGGUAACCCUUCCAAAGACCCUUCACGGAGAGUAGUUUUAUUUUUCCACUUAUUAACCGCAUUCACUAGACUGGAAAAAGAAUUCCCUAUCUCCCAAGAACUCUCCCUUUCAUUCUUGUAAUUCCUUUUUUUUUUUUUUUUUUUUUAGCACCAGGAAAGUAAUGUGUGUAAAACUAGAGCCAAGUAUAUUGUGGUUUCAAAUACAAGCCUGUUUGGAGCAGA